RNAcentral lists this ribosomal RNA (533 nucleotides) under Stenoplax rugulata. RNAcentral describes it as "partial large subunit ribosomal RNA". It matches the Rfam family "Bacterial large subunit ribosomal RNA", at positions 1803 to 2610 of the family's 2925-position model. The record is from RNAcentral. Lineage: Eukaryota; Metazoa; Mollusca; Polyplacophora; Chitonida; Ischnochitonidae.
UUUAUCAAAAACAUCGCUCUCUGUUUUAAAAUAAAUAGAGAGUCUUACCUGCCCAGUGAAUUUUUUUAACGGCCGCAGUACCCUGACUGUGCUAAGGUAGCAUAAUCAUUUGCCUUUUAAUUGGAGGCCUGUAUGAAUGGUUUGACGUAAAUCUGACUGUCUUUAUUAUAUUAUUUAAAAAUUAAUUUCUAGGUGAAGAAGCCUAGAUUUUAUUGAUAGACGAAAAGACCCUGUCGAGCUUAAAAUUAGUAUAAAAUUUUUAUAAAUUUAAGAAGAAUUUAUUUUUAUUAAAAAUUUUUUGUUGGGGUGACAGAAGAAUUUAUAAAACUUCUUUUAAUUAUUUUUUACUUAUUAGUUAUAAUCUUUCAAUAACAAAAAAAUAAAAGUUACCGCAGGGAUAACAGCGUUAUUUUCUUGGAGAGCUCAAAUUGAAGAGAAAGAUUGCGACCUCGAUGUUGGAUUAAAAUUCCUUAUAGGCGUAGAAGCUUAUAAAGGAGGUCUGUUCGACCUUUAAAAUUUUACAUGAUCUGAGU